GACGAACGCUGGCGGCGUGCUUAACACAUGCCAGUCGAACGGAAAGGCCCUGCUUUUGUGGGGUGCUCGAGUGGCGAACGGGUGAGUAACACGUGAGUAACCUGCCCUUGACUUUGGGAUAACUUCAGGAAACUGGGGCUAAUACCGGAUAGGAGCUCCUGCUGCAUGGUGGGGGUUGGAAAGUUUCGGCGGUUGGGGAUGGACUCGCGGCUUAUCAGCUUGUUGGUGGGGUAGUGGCUUACCAAGGCUUUGACGGGUAGCCGGCCUGAGAGGGUGACCGGCGACAUUGGGACUGAGAUACGGCCCAGGCUCCUACGGGAGGGAGCAGGGGGGAAUAUUGCACAAUGGGCGGAAGCCUGAUGCAGCAACGCCGCGUGCGGGAUGACGGCCUUCGGGUUGUAAACCGCUUUCGCCUGUGACGAAGCGUGAGUGACGGUAAUGGGUAAAGAAGCACCGGCUAACUACGUG
RNAcentral lists this ribosomal RNA (468 nucleotides) under uncultured bacterium. RNAcentral's name for it is "partial 16S ribosomal RNA". It matches the Rfam family "Bacterial small subunit ribosomal RNA", at positions 28 to 507 of the family's 1533-position model. The record is from RNAcentral.